This 4735-nucleotide long non-coding RNA is filed under the name Homo sapiens (human). RNAcentral describes it as "long non-coding RNA NONHSAT174960.1". The record is from RNAcentral. Lineage: Eukaryota; Metazoa; Chordata; Mammalia; Primates; Hominidae.
CAAGGGUAAGCCACAGGGAGUCAGCAGGGCUGAGUGUGAUGGCGACACUUAGCGUGAAGAGGGAGAUAAGUGAAGAGCCACAGCACUUUCCAGUCAGUACUGGAAUGCCCUUCAUUUCCAGUCAUUCUCUGAAAAGUGCUCUUCCUUUUCUUAUUCAGAAAUUAAAUCAUUGAGGAAAGUCUGUAAGAAUGAGAUGGGAAAUACUCUGUCCCCUAGUUAGUAAGAUCUCAUUCAUCUCUGGACAUACAGAUUUAAGCUUUAGCAAGAUUCCACGUGAACAGAGUAUUGGUUUUAUGUUUUGAAAAUCUUACUAGAUACGUUGGCGUGUUCCCACAUCCCCAUAACACUCACAGGCCUCUGAUGAGGGAAUGCCAGAAAUGGGUCUGAGGGCAGCAGGUGCUGCGGAGGCACUGUAGGAGCGAGGCCCUGUCCCGGGACACCCAUCCUGCUGGGGAUUCCCUGGAGCAUCUGGUCCUCCUCAGCUGAGGCUGUCAGGUGAAGAAUCUCUGGAGCUGGAUGUGGACAAAUCCAUUCACAAGACAAGACACGGGGAUGGGCAGUCUCCUUGCUCAUUGCACUGUUUUCCCUGGCUGGAUUCGUUUGAUCACUGCUUCUCUAAAGAGCCCUAAGCUCAGAAUUUAGCUGCUUAAACACAUGGUCUUGUCUCUCUGAUUUUUUUUUCCUUUUUCAUCCAAGUAAUUUUGUGAAGGGGAAAACAUCCUCCAAUAACAGCAUUUCCCGGGGACUCUCCUCCUGGCAUGCCCACUAACCGCACCUGCACCCGGCUCUCUGACUGAUGCCGGCUCCACCAGCGGUCCGGUCUGGUCCGGUCCGGUCCAGUGCAGGGGGUCUAACGGUGUGUUUAUUUUCUCCUCCUGCUCUGUCUCUACCCAGAGUCUGAAGGAAGGCCUGACGGUGCAAGAACGGUUGAAGCUCUUUGAAUCCAGGGACUUGAAGAAAGACUAGGUGUGUCCCAUCCAAGUUGAGCACGCGCCUUCCCCAGCUUGCAGCAGCACACCCCAAGCGCUGCUUUUCACCUGUACCUUUGUUUUAUUAUUAUUAUUAUUAUUGCUGUUGUUGUCAUCGUUAACUGUGGGCAUGGAAUGCGUGAGGCUGGCUUCUGGGUUGUCCACACCACUCUCUGCUGUGUUGACUUCCUGUUGUCUUCAUCAAAGCUUUUUUCCGUGGUAUUCUAAAAUUAGGCCAGCAGUGGGGGCUGGGAGGGCAUCUGUGUUAGUCCUUUCCUGGCUGUGACCCGCCACACUCACUGUCAGUAUUAAGGCCCAGCAGCCUGUUGAUAAGCUACCCUGUCUCACCAUGUGCUGGUGUGGAAACGGGGCCCAGCCAGCACGCCUCAAGGUAGAUGGAAUCCCCACUGGUCAGAGAAAAAGCUAUGCGGACACUCCAGCUUGGCCUGGGUCACAGCACUGACUCCUCACCCGCUAGUCUGGCUGUUAAGAGGAGAAAGUGCACUGCCUUCCAGCCCAGGAGGAGGACAGCAUUUUGUAUUUGUUCCACUGAUGCAGCUUAGAACCACACCCCUGAGAGUCGUGGCAAACCUUUCACAACCUGGAAAAUGUUGAAAGCAACCAUUCCUAUUUUUGUUUGUUUUUUAUUAAAUCUUGCACAAAAUCCCCGGCCCCUCUCCUUCCUUCCUUCCUUCCUUCCUCCGCUCGUUCCUUUCUUGGUCUCCAGUAACCCUGGUCUUUUCAUAACUGCUCGAGAUUGUUGACCUGCAGCCCAGGUUUCAGACUCUGAUUGCAAAAAACAAAUGAAUUCCCCCCAGGAAUCAUUCAAAAUGGGGGAAGGUUUGGGGGUUUGGGUUUUUUUUUUACCUUUUGGAAAAGAAACCGUCACAUUGCUUUGGAAAAGGUUGAGAGGAGACCCCUGUUAAGUCAAGAAGAAAGUACAGAGGAUGUCAGAAUCUGAUGAGAACAGCACAUUAGUGUUUAUUGAGACUCCGAUCUUAACUCUCAUUUAAUUAAUCUGAGCUCUGAAAACCUAUCUUGCAGCAUUUAUCUUUAAAAGAGCCUGGUUAAAGUAAACCUAUACUAACAAUUUUGCUUUUUCUAACAGUUUGAGGAAGACCUUUUUAACCACCACAAAACAUUCUAUGGCAAUUCUUGAAAAUCUCUUAAAUUGGAGUCUAUUAUGGCCCCAUGAAAACCAUUAAUCCCAUUAAGAUAGGGAGUAUAAACCCCUGGCUGGUGGAACAGGUUCUGCUACUUUAGGAGCAAGGUGGGGUGUGAGUAGAUGGUUUUCAUGCCAAGAACAUGCUUUCACUUUGUAUUCAUGCUUGUGUUGGUGUGAUGGUCUCUGUGGGUGGGUGGAUGCUUUGGGCGUUGAAAUCUAGAAAUCCUGUUGCUCAGUUUCUAGAUGAAGUCAUGAGCAAGGCCAUCAGUGGAGCUCUGGCCCCGCCCCCAAUGUGCAGAAGGGCCGGGAGCAAGGCCUGGAGUUUUCAUGUGUUUUCAGACCCAGGUUUAGGUGCUCUCUUCUCACUGAAAUAACUAAGUGCUCUCCACUGGCAUCGAGCCCUUUCCACAAGUUUUUAAGGCUCUUAACCCACACUUUCACUCCUCUGCUACUAGUCUUCAGUGUUGUUAACAGCAAGAGAAAAUUGGGUUUGUUUAAAAAUCUACUUCUCUGAGGUGGCACAGUUGCGUAGCUGUAGUCCCAGCUACUCAGGAGGCUGAGGUAGUAGGAUUGCUUGAGCCCGGGAGGUCGAGGCUGCAAUCAGUCAUGAUCGUGUCACUGCACUCCAGCCUGGGUGACAAAGCAAGGCCCCAUAUCAGAUAUAGAUAUACUUAUCAGACCCCCCCUGACCAUUUAGAUUGGCAGUGCUUUGAGAAAUGCACUAUGACCUUUCUGUGUCAAUGGGAAUAUACAGAAGGAACAUUCGGGACCCCGCUGUCCCCCACAGCCUCAUUGUUGUCUCCAGGACACUGCUGGGUCACACGAAUGCUCCAGGACAGACAGGGACCUGGAGUGCAUCAGGAUCUGACCAGAUAGGAGUUUUUGCCUCGUGUCUGGGUGCUACGAUUUUGUGCCGUUCUCUGAGGUCCACCACCUGCCCUUCCUGGCAUGGUUUCCUUCGUGACCAUCCCUGCUGCCCCUGGGGGUGGACCCCACUGGCCCUUCUGCAGACAGCUCCCUGCCUUCUGCCCUCCAGGGGGUUCUGGCCAGAGUCCAUGCUUGGAGACAGGAUCAUCUGCCUUCAGCCCUCACAGUGCUUUAAAUUAAAGCAAGUUUGCCCAUAGGACAAAAGAGCAUUUGAUUCCCUUUUUUCUGUCACAUAUCCCUUGAGGCUGGACUUCAGGAAUCCUGGAAAAUUAAUAUGAGUGCAGCAUGUGAGGGGUCAGAGACAGGCCAGCAGGGCGUCUGCAUUCCUCCCUGCCACAGGUCUCUCCCCAGAGGCUGGUUUAGUGUAGGGUAUUGCCAGGAAACGGACUGAGGCUGCUUUGCUAAGAGCUCCUGAAAAUGCCCUGGGCCUGUCCUGGCGUUUCUGAAGAGCCCUCAUACAGGGACAGCCACCAUCUGGGUCAAGGAAGUCUGGGUUCCCUGCUGGUGGGCUCCAUCCUGCGAUGGAGUGAACCAGGCGAGAAAGGAUGACGAUGUUCUUCAUGUUGCACCUGGACAUGCCCCAGGAACAGAGACUUGCCCAGGUGGCAACACUGGCACAGAUGUUGACGGCUGCCCAACUGGUGCCACACUGAGCAGGGAGCCUUGUGCUGCACAGGGCUGGGCCCUCUCUCCAGUUUCCUUCCUGCAGGCAUCCAAAUACCCUGGAAGGGAUUUAACCCCUGAAUUCCAGAGGGAAGAAAGAAGAACAGUGAAGAAGUAGAACUGGUUUCUGUAUGGGGAGAGGAAAGUCUUAGGGACAGCUGCAGGCGGGGUCUCAGGCUGCUCCUUGGCACCAGCUACACAGUAGUGAGCUUUCCCAGCUUUACCGAUGAGGAAGAAGUUCAAAUAGAUAGACUUCAGCAUUUUAAUUAUUUUCCUAUAAAUGUAUUUAUGUGUAGUAUGCUAGCACCAGCCAGUAAGCUGUGCCACACAUAUGAAUGGGAAAGCGAGGCAGUUGUGCUCGUGUGAGUUUCUGCAGGCUUGUGGGUAAUUACCUUGUGUGCACGCCUGCACGUGCAGAAUAGUCACUUUCUGCUGGUCAGUUUCUUUAUCCACCCAUGGUGCCCCAGCCCCAGGCAGGUGUGGAGACCAGCAUUUCAGAGGACGCGCUGUCCACAGCCUCCCGGGUCUGAGUGGAUCAUUGGGCAGGGGUGGAGACAGUGCGCUGCCCUCUGAGCUGGAAGCCUGUGCUUCAGGGAGUCAUAAUGGGCCUGUGCUAAGUGGGUGAUGCAGUGGACAUCCCAGGGCGACUAGAGGUGGCAGUAUCGCGAAUUUGCAGGUUUAUUGAACAAGAGGUAACAUCGGAGAGGAUCUUGCCUUCGGAUUCAGCAAGUAUGAAGGCAGAAGAGCAUGGAGAGCAAGGCCCCACAGCCUGCUUAGUGAGUUGGAAGGCCCAGCAAGAACCUGUUUCUGCAGCAGCCACCAGCUCCCAUCACCCCUUGACCCUCCAGCUCAUGCUGGAGAAGAGGGAAUUUUGGCUGUUUAAAGAACACAGUUGUGAAUCUCAGAAUGUGCCUGAAAGGAAUACUGACAGAUAAGGCCGGAAACAAAACUGAUGGCUUGAAAAACAUUUUUAUGGAAUGUAUUUACUAUCAUUUUGUUUUACUAUAGAGGU